UCACAAAAGAAACAGUCCAUCCUUGACCACCUGGUUGAGUCCUCUGUUAAGCCAUCCGUUAUUAAUAGGUGCACUCUCCUCAAGAGGGGAUCACUUGAGAACCAUCACCUCUCCUAUAAAUACCCCCAAAGCAUAAUAUAGAAAGAGGUCUCUCCUUUCUUUCCAACAAAACCUAAAAGUCCAAGUCAUCAUCCUCACCCCUUGAUUCUCUCUUUCACUCUCCUACUUUUCCGACUCUAAGCCUCGGCGUGGGUGAACCGACCUUCCUUGUUGAUAUCUUAUAUCAAGAAUAGUGCAGUGAGCAUGGAUUGAAUUUACUUGUUCCAGCCAAGAACAUAAUAAAUCUAUCUCCAUCACUCCUUUUCCCCUCUUUUUCGCUGUUUGCUUCAUUCCCUGCAUUUUUCAUUUUGAUUUUCCUUUGAUGGUUUGUAUAAUUUCGUCCCUACAAUUGCUUUCUUUGAGCUCUUUCAUAAUGAUCCGCAAGUUAAUGCAUGGUUGGAUCGUGUAUGUUGUUUGGUUUCUUAUUUGAUAGUGUUGUAAGCUUGAUAUGUUUAGAAUUUAGAAUGCUUUAGUUGAUGACUAAACUCAAUGGAUAUCCCCUCCAUUUCCUUUUCACUAUAACCCACUAUCCCUGUCGCAGGUCAGAUCUUUCUUUUCCUUUACAUACACAUAUAUUUAUGUGUAUAAUAUGUUUCAGUCAUCGGGGGUGUCCAACACCUACCCC
This 724-nucleotide long non-coding RNA is filed under the name Gossypium raimondii (Peruvian cotton). RNAcentral's name for it is "long non-coding RNA (GRAI_LNC004309)". Lineage: Eukaryota; Viridiplantae; Streptophyta; Magnoliopsida; Malvales; Malvaceae. The record is from RNAcentral.